ACUGCUUGCUUAGAACAUUUGAUGCCAAUUUUAUUUCGACCUCUUCAUUCCAAUGGCAAAACGGGCAGGCACAAAGUGAUCACACAUGAUAAGGUAUUAUUAUGAAGCAAAAGAGUUCUUUAUGCAGCUGCUUUCCAGGUCGACAAAGGUGGGGUGUCUGAAUCUUUCCAUGUAGGGAUAUCGGGUCCAUAUCUCUCGCCCUUGACAGCAUCGGCUGAAGCAAUAGAUUCAAGUUCGGCCAUGUCUUCUUCCGUUAGUUUUACAGACAAUGCUCCCAUGUUUUCAUUAAGAUUCUCAAAUUUCGUUGUACCAGGUAUCGGACAAACAUCAUUUCCUUGAUGAUGUACCCAGGCCAAAGCAAGCUGUGAAGGGGUACAUCCCUUUCUAUUUGCAAUAUCCUUGACCCUCUCGAAUAAGCUCUUAUUAAGCUCCAGAUUCUCGGGUUGGAAUCUUGGUAGACGCUGCAAAAUGUAAAAAGAGUUUGAGCAUAUAUAUCGGUUUCAAUAUUGAUAAUUCAGAUUGUAAAACUACACAUUUUAGAAGCAGGAACAUCACCUAUAUCAUGCACGCUUCAAGGGGAAAAACUUGUAGCAAUCAUUAGAACUAUGUAAUGACAAAGUUUAAGGCCAGGACAUCAUUUGGUACAGCAUUAUCAUUGAAAAGAGGGAUUAAUGCGGACUGAAAUUCAUCAAACAGUUCACUUGGAUGCUCAACUCAACAGGUCGUAUAGAAAUACAAAAUUUUUAAAAAUUUACUUAAUAUAUAUAUAUAUAUAUAUAUAUAUAUUAUUUAUUUAUUUAUUUAUUUAUUAUUAUUAUUAUUGUUGACCUCCAAAAAUGACUCCAACAGGCACCCUAUCUUCGUCCCCUCGAAACCUGCGUAUGUAGCACCCCGUCAAGAGGCAAAGGCGGCCGGAUGAGAAAAAGGUCCGGCGACCGUUUGCACUCCGACGGUCAAGUCAACGGCCGAACGAGAAAUAGAUAUAUAGAGUGCAAUAGUAGAGAGAUGGGGGAUUUGGCUAGAGUAUUUAGAACAUACCUUAACUUGUGAAUUGAAUCCAUAUAUAUAGAGAAAUGAUGUGAAAUGGGCUAAGGCNNNNNNNNNNNNNNNNNNNNNNNAAAUGGGCUAAGGCGGGUUAAUGGGCCUAAGUUCGAGCCCAGUAUGAGGUGAGCAAAGUGAUGGGCACUUCGGCUAGGCUUUUAUGGCCUCGGUGGCGCCUCGGCUAGGCUUCUUAGAGCCUCGGCUUUGAGGCCCAACACUAAUGGGCCUAGCUCGGGUCCAAUAAGGUGGCCCAAUAUGGAGUGAUAAUUCAUAGGCGUAACAGUAGUCCCCCAAGUCCGAGUCGUGUUAUUUAUAUGCGGGUCGGACUUGAAAUCUAAACUCUCAAGUAGGCGAGGUCAUACAGAUUGCCUCAAAAAGAUGGGUAGCUCCAAUAAGCAAGGGCUUACGAAUUGCCUCAAAAAUAUGCAUCGAUCUCGAAUAGGCGAGAACUUAUGAAUUGCCUCGAGAAAUAUGAGUCGCUCCAAUAAAUGAGGACUUAGGAACUGCCUCAGAAAAUGUGUCAGAAUAAGCGAGGACUUACGAAUUGCCUCGAAAGAUAUACUGCGUAUACUUUUUCAAAAUUUCGAUAGCAUCUCUUCUGUAAUAUGGACUAAACCAAUCCUGCGAGGCUUGUGAGUGCUGAAAUGUGAUGAAGCCGAGGUGGUUGAGAAAUCGAACCUACGAGGCUUGUGAAGGCUGAAAUGUGAUGAAGCCGAGGUGGAUGAGAAAUCGAACCUGCGAGGCUUGUGAAGGCUAAAUUGUAAGGCUCAAGCUGCUGAGGCACCUGCUGUCGAGGCACCUCCACCAUUGACUGGGCUUAGUGUAGUUCACUUUUCACUGUAAUCUAUCUUCAUCACAUGCUGUUUUUCUCCGAAGUGUAUUAGCCUCGUUAAGCAAUUGAACUUUACUUAAGCAUAAUAACUAUAACCUGAAGGGAUCCAACGAAUGCUGUUGCAGCCGAACUUAAGCAUAAUAAUUGUAUGAGCCUCGAAAUUCACGUGAAGUGGCUUCUCCCAUUGGCGUUCAGUCUCGCCAAAAGGAGGCAUGUGCUAGCACCUCGGAGUUCAAGCGAGGUCGCCCAAAGAUGGGACGCGAGCCUCUCCUCCGAGGUGACGACGCAUCCCAGAUAUGGUGGAUGGUGCAGCCAUGUUGGGGCUUCUCCCCUUGGCGCUCAGCCUGGCCAAAGGAAGGCAUGUGCUAGCGCUUCGGAGUUCAAGCGAGGUGGCCCAGAGAUGGGACACGAGCCUCUCCUCCGAGGUGACGACGCAUCCCAGACAUGGUGGAUGGUGCAGCCAUGUUGGGGCUUCUCCCCUUGGCGUUCAGCCUGGCCAAAGGAAGGCAUGUGCUAACGCCUCGGAGUUCAAGCGAGAUGGCCCAGAGAUGGGACGCGAGCCUCUCCUCCGAAGUGAUGACGCAUCUCAGACAUGGUGGAUGGUGCAGCCAUGUUAGGGCUUCUCCCCUUGGCGUUCAGCCUGACCAGAGGGAGGCAUGUGCUAGCGCCUCGGAGUUCAAACGAGGUGACCCAGAUGGGACGUAAGCCUCUCCUCCGAGGUGACGACGCAUCCCAGACAUGGUGGAUGGUGCAGCCAUGUUGGGGCUUCUCCCCUUGGCGUUUAGCCUGGCCAGAGGGAGGCAUGUGCUAGCGCCUCGGAGUUCAAACGAGGUGACCCAGAUGGGACGUAAGCCUCUCCUCCGAGGUGACAACGCAUCCCAGACAUGGUGGAUGGUGCAGCCAUGUUGAGGUAAUAUUAGCUUUCCGAAGAUAAGUAGAUGUAACAUGGCUGAGGCAGAAGCAAAAUUCUGAACUGAACAGCUGUACUAAUACGAAUGCAGAGGCUGACCCUGAACUGAACAGCUGUACUGAUAACGAAGCAGAGGCUGACUCUGAACUGAACAUAAUAGAUGUAUACCAGCUGUUGACUUUUUAAGAUCCGCUGAGUGUAUGGUUGCUGCUGUGGUUGUAGGUUCAGCUGUCUCUACAGAACCGCUGACUCAGAGGACUUCACAUGGGAGAUGCUAAAGGUUGUGAAGCUGAAGGUUAGGACGCAGCUUCGACUGAGGUGCUGAAGCUUCAAUGCCUACUUUGAGGAAGGAGCUCAUCUGCCACCGAUGCACUGACCCACAGAGGACGACGCGUUGGGAGAUGGCUAAAGUUUUGUAAAGCUCAGGAAGAAACACAGCCACCGAGGUGAUAACCCACAGGGGACUCCGCGUCAAGUGUGUCUAACCUUUGUAAAGCUGAGUAAGGAGCUCAUCUGCGAUCGAUACAGGAGAUGGCUAAAGGUCGAUAAAGCUUUGACUACACUACAGCCGAAGCAAUGACCCACAGGGGACUCCGCAUCGGGAGGGUUGAAACUUUGUCAAGCUCGGAAUGACGAGGACUUAGAGUCACGCUCGACAAUAGUGAGAAGUGAGGAAGAUAUCUUGCGGAGCCUUAAAUAAAUAUGUGACGAUAUCUCGAACUGUUGGAGUCUUAUAAGCCGACCUUGAAUAGACAAGGACUUAGAGCUAAACUCGACGAUAGUAAGGCGAGGAAAAAACAUCCCGCGAAGCCAGGGAGCAUAGGUCUGGCAAAGAGUCGAACUAUUAGAGUCUUAUAAGCUGGCCUUGGAUAGGCGAGGGCUUAAAGCUAAGCUCGAAGAUAGUGAGGCGCGAGGAAAAGACAUCUCGCGAAGCCAGGGAUGAACACCUGGCGAAUUGUCGAACUAACGAAAUCUUAUAAGCUGGCCUCGGAUACGAGGACUUAAAGCUAAGUUCGAUGAUAAUGAGGCGAGGAGUAAGCAUCCCGUGAGUGAGGUCAGGAAAGGCUCCUUUUGCAAGAGCUUACACGUCUGACAGCUUGACUCGUCCUUUAUUCAAGGAACAAAGACUUCAAACAUAUUGCCUCUUCCUUUAUUCAAGGAGUGAGGACUUAUAAUAUAUCGCCUCUUCCUUUAUUCAAGGAACGAGGACUUCGGUAUGCUUGAAUAAUUCAAGUGCCAUAAUGUGAAUAAGUUUGCCUAAUCAAGAAUUGGCCGAGUAUGAUCUUCUGGGGGUUGCCUCAUAAAUCAGUUCAACAUUCUUUCUUCAGAAAAGUUGAAGAUCUAGCAUGCCUUAAGAGAUUUAGAAGAGAAUUUAAUCAGCCCAAUUUUUAAUAACAAGCGGAAGCUCAAGUGGGGAGAAGAGAAUCACGAAGAUGUGCCGAACUUGAAGAAGAUGACUCCCCUGAAGUGGCCCCAUGCGAAGAAAACCGGGUUUAAGCCCAAUCAAAGAUUAGGGCAGCAAUUGUUCCGUGGAAACAAAUCUAGUAGUCAGACUAAUAAUACCCAAUAUGCCUAAUUUAUAAUCCAUUGGAUUAAAUAAAGACGUAAGCCCAAUGAUGAUUCCAUGUACCAAGAGUAAAAUGAAAUAUAUGUGGCCCAAAUAUUGGCCCACAUUCCUCCAAGAGGCCGAUUCUUUACUCCAAAUCAGAUUGUCCCAGAAUAAUUAAAUUCCAAUUGUCUUUUUGUGAUAAUAAAGUUGACUAAUCAGCAAAGCAAUUGGACAAAAACCAGCAAGUUGCAUGAGUUGACAUUGGCGUGUUCCAUACUUCCAUACGUCUUUCCAAAAAUUAAAAAGCGCAAGGCUCGAUGCUAAUAUAUCUUUUCUCCCCCCAUAUCUGCUUACCACAAGAUCACGGCACUGAAGCAGCAGCUGGUGGUCCGAGUUGCACGCCGGAGAAAGAAACAAAAUCUGAUUGAGCCGUUUUGCUGAAAAUACGGUGUGCCGAAUGUGUUCUUUAUUCAUCAAGAGGAUUACUUGGGACAGUUACUCACCUGGUCGGUUGCUGUUAUCACUGCCUCGACGACCAUAAUCGGAGACUACAGGUGGCCUCGUCGGUAGCACCUUCAAGCUGCAACUUGGCAGAGGAAUUCUAAUCCACCAUAUCGUACAUUCAAAAAUUCUUAAUAGGAUGGUCCUCAGGUUGAAACCAGGAAACUCCUGCUGAUUUUUGGAAAUUCGUUGGUGGAAUAUGUAGAAUGAUUUGUAUAGCAACAAAGUGGGCUUUUUUUGAGGAUGUUUGGUGUGUAUAUAUUUUUGUAAUUGUACGAAUUUUUUGACCCGUGCUUCGCCGGAAAGUUCCUUUUUCAAGGAAUUCUUUCCUGCCUCUUUCCUUGUCGUAUGAAGAAAUUUUCAAAUGCUUCCUGUGGCACCUUUUCUUCUUUUUCAAGACCAUUUUCAUGGCCAAAAUGUUCAUUGAAAAACUUCCUUUUUCAAGGAGAUUUUUGUAUCUCAGUCAGUAGCUAUCUUCUAUCAUUUUUCUUCAUUUCUUGGGUUGCUGUCUUCACUCAUUUGGUACAACACUGACCGGAAAAUAAAAUCAUUUUUUAUGUGGAAUAACAUGAUUAACGUAGCGUUUCUCACAGACGGCGCCAAUCUGUUGACCUCCAAAAAUGGCUCCAACAGGCACCCUAUCUUCGUCCCCUCGAAACCUGCGUAUGUAGCACCCCGUCAAGAGGCAAAGGCGGCCGGACGAGAAAAAGGUCCGGCGACCGUUUGCACUCCGACGGUCAAGUCAACGGCCGAACGAGAAAUAGAUAUAUAGAGUGCAAUAGUAGAGAGAUGGGGGAUUUGGCUAGAGUAUUUAGAACAUACCUUAACUUGUGAAUUGAAUCCAUAUAUAUAGAGAAAUGAUGUGAAAUGGGCUAAGGCGGGUUAAUGGGCCUAAGUUCGAGCCCAGUAUGAGGUGAGCAAAGUGAUAGGCACUUCGGCUAGGCUUUUAUGGCCUCGGUGGCGCCUCGGCUAGGCUUCUUAGAGCCUCGGCUUUGAGGCCCAACACUAAUGGGCCUAGCUCGGGUCCAAUAAGGUGGCCCAAUAUGGAGUGAUAAUUCAUAGGCGUAACAAUUAUUAUUAUUAUUUUAUGGUAAAAGUUGAAAAUAAGUAAUUUAUUUUGACACCAAAAUAAAAGUUAAUUUUAAAAAUAUAUAACUUUUUUAUUUAAAAUUUAGAAAAAAGUAAGUUAUAUACGUAUCCAAACAUAUUUGAAAACAAAAAGUUAAAAGUAGUUGUUUAUCCUUUUGUAGCUUAUGCAAACAUGCUCUUGAAUAAUUAGCUUGCAUUUCAAGUGAGGGCAUAACUUAUAUUCAUAAUUCCAGAGAUUCUUAGAUAUUAUGUGUAUCAUAAAUCCAAAAACUGGUGAUGGUGUGCACAAUGGCUACACAAAAUAAUUCAUAGUUGAAUUGGAAGCUCAGAAGUGAUAGAAGAAUAAAACAAACCAACCUUUCGAAAGUCCACUUCAGAGAAAGUUUCAACGACUUUUGGACCGGAGGAGAAGAAUCCCCGUCCGAGAGGACUGUAUGCUACUAUUCCAAUGCCAAGUUCUCUAAACAAUUGUACCAAGGAUGUUUAGAGUUAGAACUCUAUAUUUCUUACUGGUUCGAAAUAUAAAACCAUUACAAUAAUCAUCAAACCUGCAAGUGGGAAUUAUUUCUGCCUCAGCAUCUCUUGUCCACAAAGACCACUCCAACUGCACUGCUGAAAUUGGAUGAGCAGCAUGCGCCCUUCUGAUUGUAGAAGGUGAGGCCUCUGAUAGACCAAUAUAUUUUACUUUACCUUCUUCCACAAGUUUCUUUAGUUCUCCCAUCUUGCAAAAAGAGAGAUCCAAAGUAAUUAGGAGAGGCUUAAGAAAGAAACAUGCGGAAUCAAGUCUAAGAAUAAAAGGGAGACAUCCACAUAUAUAUAUAUAUAAUCAAAUAUGUGCAACAAUAGGCAGGUUAUGUUGGCUGUAGGAACUCCUCUACCGUAGUGCCAUUCCUGAAGAUUCCAUGUCACAUUUUCUAGAUUUAUCAAAGGUUUGAAUUGUGAGAUUAAACCAGAGCUCGUUUUUUAUACAUCUGACUCAUUAGAGGAAGGUCAGGUUAUAGUUAGCUAUUAAAAUUGAUAAGUACCUCCAAUCUCGUCCAGUGAGAUGUGCACCUCACGUGUCAGUAGAUUCUCAACAGUUUCACCCUACUUCAUUCACUAAGUCAAGUAUUGAAUCUCAGUUUUGUAUAUCAUUGAAAAACAAAUAGACAAAGCCACAGACCCAAACACUACUGUUAAGACUAAAAAGAUUCAGGGUAAUGUUCCUUCUUUUCCCACAUUCCUUCUGCUACCAAAAAGAGCUGACAACAAUCUAAGUAUAAGUCCACAAAAUAUUAUAACUAAACCCCUGCGAAGGACUUCUAAAUAUCUCCAUCAAGGCUGGAUGCAAGAAAAGCUGUAUUCUUUCAUCAGACUUCAAAAGUUUCCGGGUUCGUGCCCCCCCAGCAAUUUUCUAUUACAUUAAUAUUUAUUAAGCUGCUAACUAGAUUCGAAAAUCUUGUAGAUUUCACUUAACAAAACAGCAGAAAUAAUGGAGGAAAGAGCAGUAGUAUAGUUUUGUCACUCUGUCAUUAUUCUGAAAUAGCGUGUAAUGCUUCCUUUCUACAUGGACUAUACUCAGGUUGUAGUGAAUACUCGAAUUUACAUUGAUCACGUGGUAUGGUGCUAACUUGUUCAAAAGUAUGUCUAUUCAACUCCAAUUACAUAACAUGGUUAACAACAUAACACAAUUGAUGAAACCAUUAAACUAUCACUUCGCUUUGUCUCUAAGGUAAAAUUAGAGUUAGAACUUAGAGAUAGCACAACCUACUUGAGUGGGUUGAUCAAAGCUGAUUGAGAACAAUACAGUAGUUAAGAAGACAUACUUCUAAUUCACCAAUUUGUCAAGAUUAACCCAAGCUUGGUUCAAUAAAACAAUAAAUAGUAAACAUAUACAAAAGUACCAAACAACUAAAGUUCAAUUUAUAAUCAGCAAGAUACAUGCUUGUUCAAUGUAGGCUCAAUUUCAAAUUUAUUAAGAUAUCAAACCAAGUUCCAACAACCCACCUUUUGGCUCAGCUCAUUGGCACAAAUGUCGAAAGCCAAGAACUACUUAUGCUCACACUUUGUAAAACAAAAUUAUGAGAGAUACAAAGACAAUCAAGAGAGAACACAGGGUUAACCGUGACUUCAAUAGGCACACGUGUAUCAAUGCGAUGUUGGUAAUAAAGAUCAAUGCAAUCAACAUCAAGCCGCUUCAAGCUGGCCUCGCAGGCAGCCCGUACAUAGGCUGGGUCGCCGCAUAUGUCAUUCUUCCCAUCAGCAAGUCUAAUCCCGAAUUUUGUAGCUAACUCCAUUUUCUCCCUCAUUCCAUCCUUCAAAGCCUAUGCAAAGCCACGAUUUGAUACCAAACAGUAGAUAGACAUUACAAAAACAAUGAUACGUUAAAAAUGGGCAACCCAUCCAAGAAGCGAAAGACACUAAACAGACUAGCCAGGUUAAGGUUCGAGACGGCCUAUGCAAAGCCACAAUUUGAUGCCAAACAGUAUUAAACACCACAAAAGCAUUGAUACGUUAAACAUGGACAACCCCUCCGAGAAGUGACACUAAAUAGACUAGCCCGAGUAAGGUUUGAGACUAGAGUCCAUAAGACUAAUAAUGAAGCUGUAAAAAUGCUUGAAUAAUUUGUCCUUCUCCAGCAAAAAAGAAGUUACUUUGAUAGCAUUUCCCCAAUCAAUGAGACAGUCCCAAGAAUAACGAAAGGAAAUUAAAACGUAUAUGGCCAUUUUAUGAAGGCCUCACAACGAAGAUAACACCUUAAUCUAGUUCUGUUGAGUUCCACGAAUACCAGAAAAAGAUUAAAAAUUGGAAGAAACUACCAAUUUAUAAACUACAUAAAAAUAAAAAAACCAAAUAUUUAUGGGAAAAAAAACCUUAAACCAAAUUAAGGGUUUAAAUUCCAUGACUUAGUUAAACAAUAUACCAAUAAAUAAAUAAAUAAUAGAAAUAGGAAAUAAAAUGUAUAAGGAAUCUGAAUCAAUCACCAUACAAGCUCAGUCUUCCCAGUUCCCAAAUCUUGUACAACAUUUAAGAAUAAAAAACAACACAAUAUAUUCUAUUUCUGCAACUAAUAUUUUACACUUUUUCUUAUAUAUUUAGAAAUAAACAGAAUUGAGAAAUUCCAUGUGUAAUUACUAAUUAAAGUUGCAGAAAUACAAGUGUGUCUGUGUCUGUGUCUGUGUCUGUGUGUUGGGGUUAAGGAAACAGGGUAAGAGUACCUACCUUCCCGAGGAGGAUUUCAUUGGUUUUCGGCCCAUAGAUGUCGGAGGUAUCAAGGAACGUGAUGCCGGAAUUUAGUGCAUAGUGAAUGAGUUUGAUCAUGUCGGGCCCGGGCUUCGGCUGGCCGAAAUGUGGCGUCAUGCCCAUGCAUCCGAGUCCUUGCACAGACACUUCCAAUCCCUGUGAGCCGAGCUUGAUUCUGGGCAUUUUCACAUUGCUUUCGGCAGCCAUUAUUCAGGAAUCCCCGUCUAUGUUAAUGGAUACUGAAUCGAAUGGGAGGAACAGGUAAAAUAAUCAGGGUUGGUCUACAGUGCAGAGAUAAUUAGAGCGUGUUUGAUUGUGAGAAAAUAUUACUUAAAAAAAAAAAUAUUUCUCAUCUUUUGUGAAAAAUAAAAAUCACUUGAAAAUAUUUUCCUUAAAAAUAAGAAAAAUUAGGCGUAUUUUCAAAAGUUGAAAAAUAUUUUUCAUGGAAAAAAAAUAGCAAUCAAACACUCCAAGUGAAAAUUUGGUUAGAAAGCUAAUAUUUUCCAUGAAAAAUAAGUGUGUUUGACAUGGAAAAUAUUACCUAGAAAAGAAAAUAUUUUCCAUCUUUUGUGGAAAAUAAAAACCACCUCUACCCAAGGAAAAUAUUUUCCUUAAAAACAAGGAAAAUAAGACAUAUUUUCAAGAGUUGGAAAAUAUUUUUCAUAGAAAAAAAUAGCAAUCAAACACUCUAAGUGAAAAUUUGGAUGGAAAACUGAUAUUUUCCAUGGAAAAUAAAUAUAAUCAAACACACCCUUAUUGUUUGUAGCUGGGUUAAUCUUGUCUUAUUUUUCUUUCUAGACUCACUAUUAUUCUACUAAAUAUUAAUUUAUUUCAAUUAGGUCACUAAACUUUGAUUUAGUUUCACAUUACACCAUUAUAUCACAUUUCAUCUUCUAUAUUCCCAAACUAACGAAAUUUAAAUAGCUGGCAUCCAUAUUAUAAUCGAUCAUUCAUGUAAUCAUCUUGGGUACCCUAAAAAUGAAAAUCACAAUAUAAAAAUUAUUGUAAUUAUUUAACUCCCUGUUUGAUAGAGAUUAAAAUAUUCAAAUUUUAGUACAAGUCAAAAUUAACAAUUAUUUUUACCAAAAAUUUCAUGAAACACAACUUUUUAAUCACAAUUUAAUCAAUUUAUUAAAAAACUGAUUUUAAUCUCCACCCAACAAGGUAUUAGAUUAAAAUGUUUAAGUAUUUUUCUUAUCCGCUUUAUCACCUUUAGGACGUGGCAUAAUAGUAAAUUGACAUCCCACACAAAAAUCAAAUGCAAUGUGGUCUCGAGUAUUCUAUAAGUUUGGGAGACGAAAUGUGACAAUUACAUAAAAACAAAAACAAAAAUAAAAACAAAUUUAGUCCAAUGACCCAAUUGUAUCUAAAUUGAAGUAUAGGGAACCAAUUAAGCGGAAUUUGUCUAAAAGUUCAGUGACCAUAAUUGAAAUUCACCCUUCCCCCGUCUCCCCCACCCCCCACUCCCCCAACUUUCAUUUUGCUUACGUAAGAGAUGACACAAGAAGUUGAAGAAGAAAAAUAACAUUAGAAAUUUAUGUGAUGGUAGGUGAAGAUGAAUUAUCAUUAUGAAGCUAGUCUUGGUGCAGCUGCUUUCCAAGUUGACAAGGGAGGAGCAUUGAAGUUUCCCAAUUCCAAUGUUAUCAUAUUUGACUUUAGCAUGGACUUUAUCCUAAAAUGGUUAGAAUUCCUAUUCCAAUUGAGAGAGACUAGAGAGGCUUACACAGGAUCCCUUCAAAUCAUACACAAUAGAGAGUGAGGGAGUAUUUUUUAGCAAUAUUUUACGCACAUAAGACCCUCAUCAUGUGAGUAUUCUGGAAGGGUUAUGUGGCCCCUACAUAUGGCAAAAAUCAUUCCAAUUUUAGCGUUAUCGACAAAUUUUGGUAAAUCUACAUUAUUUAUUGGGAAAAUUGCAGCAAAGGCCCCAAACCUUGAAAAUAUUAACAGACUUUCCCCAAACUUUUAAUUUGUUGCAAUUGUCAACCCAAAUCUUACGAAACGUUGCAGUUGAGGCCCUUUUGGACGGUUUUCAUCCAAAUGUCUGUUAGUUGACUAAAAAUUUUGACUUUGACCAAUAUUUAAUAUUUUUGGAAGGGUAAAAUAGUAACUCUUAAUUUAUUACAUUAAAAUAAGUUAGAAAUUAAAUUAUAAAAAAUAAGAAAUAAGAAAUUAAAAAAAAAAGAAAAAAAAAAGGCCAGUCAUCUUCUUCCUCUAACCCCCACGUCCAUCCCCAAAAUCAAUUACGCCACCGGACCGCCACCUCCAUCUCCACCCCCACCCCCAGCUAACACACAAAAAUAUGAAGACAAUAAUUCGCCCAUUGCAUCCAACAUAUACAGCAUAUCCCCACCAAUUUGCUGUUGCAUUUUGACAAAUGAAACCUUAGGAAAAUCUGCAUUCUUCACAUCACAAAUGGGAAUGGACCCGAAUUCAUUCACAGCAUAAAAUGAUUCAUAAAAAAUAAAUUACAUCCUCACAAUAUAAUCGUGCUUCGUCAAUGAAUUUCCAGGAAUUUCCCCCUUUUCAUAAUAUGUCAGAUCUCCGUGUCAAUUAAGAAUCGUGAAGGCAAUUAAAUUCGAGUCAUUGUAAGGGUUGUGAGAGAGAAUGACCUUUUGAAUAAAAUAGUCGUGCAUUUUUCUUAGAGUAAUAGACCUCAGCACCUGGAGGCUGGAGUGUGUAUUCACGACCUAUGCUGUAGAAAUCGAAAUUUGAGACAUUUGGGACAGUUGAAGACGCUGGGAAAUUAACUUUGGCACAUGUGAUAGGGUUAAUAAGGAAAAUAGAGCUAACUAGGGAGGAACCAAUGCGGCGAUGGCUGGGGAAUGCUUCUGGUAGCGUGAGGUUGGGAAGGGAGUGGAGUGAGGGGUGGGAGGAAGGAAGGAAGAAGACGAUUGGCCUCUUUUUUUCUUUUUUUUCUUAUUUUUUAUAAUUAAUUUCUAACUUAUUUUAAUGUAAUAAACUAAGAGUUACUAUUUUAUCCUUCCAAAAAUAUUAAAUAUUGGUCAAAGUUAAAAUUUUUAGUCAACUAACGAACAUUUGGAUGAAAAUCGUCCAAAAGGGCUUCCGCUGCUACGUUUCGUAAGGUUUAGGGUGACGAUUGCAACAAAUUAAAUAUUUGGGGAAAGUCUGCUAAUGUUUUAAAGAUUUGGAGCCCCUACUGCAAUUUUCCCUUAUUUAUUCCUUAUUACAAUACUGCUUUCAUUUUGUCGUGGCAUUACCUUUCAUGGGAAGUGUUCUCUUGCAUGACCCUAUUGAUCUUCAACUAUUGCUUGACCGCCCCGCCCCGCCCCGACCCGACCCGAUGGGGACCUCCUCGAAUGGGGGAAAAAUCGGGUCCGACUGGCGGGGUGGGGCGCGGCGCGGUGCCGCGUUGUAGGGCGGGGAGGGACUGACCUUUGAAGAGGAAAAAAAUUAAAAAUAAAUAGACAAUUCACUCGUUAAAAACUCAUUUUGAAUUUGUAUUUUAUUCUCCAAUAAUAGCAUAAUUCGAAAUAAAAAACAAAAAAAAAAGGGGUAGCAAACAAGGCAAAAAGCUGCCCCACCCCACUGCCAUCCCUACAAUUUGUCAAGAUUAACUCCAGCUCGGUUCAAUAAAAUAAUAAAGAGUAAAUAUAUAAAAAAGCACCCAAAAACUAGAUUUCAGCUCAUAGUAAACUGGACAAAUGAUCAUUCAUCAUAGGCUUACUUUGAAAUCACACAAAACUUAACCUCAAUUUUAAAUUUACGAAUAAAUAAAUCCAAACUUCAAAAACGAACCUUUUGGCUCAGUUCAAUGCUUGUUGAGAGCUCAUAACAUAUCAAUAACAAGAGCUAGUUGCAAUCAAAGUUGGUAAAUUUAAAUCACGAGAUACUUAGAGGGAAAUAAAGGGUUAAUCGUGACUUCAAUAGCCAAACGUGAAUCAAUACGAUGUUGGUAAUAUCAAUCAAUAUAAUCAAUUGUUAGAUAUAUAUCAUAUAUUUUAUCUAAAAGAAAGUGAUUAUACUGAGAUAAAUGGUCGAGUGGUCAAAUAUAUAGAAUUUAUGUUGGAGGUCAAUGAUUCAAAUCACAAUCAUUGCGAAUAUUUAAAAUUCUAUGAUUUAGCUUUAGGGCCUUGAACUUUUUUGAUUAAAAUAAUUUUUUUUUUCUUUUAUUAAUGUUGGUUCUUCUCAAUUAUGUUCAAAUUUAUAAUGUCAAACUAGCUAGUAAAAUAUAGUAGUUGGAUGGGAUAAGUUAGUAGUAAUAUAAUAAAAAUAACAGUUUUAUUUUAUUGAAUUAUGAAUUAUUAUUGGGAAGUUACAAUUCCUAGUUGAAAUCAACCACAUCUUAUGUACUUUUAGGCAAAAUCAAUUCUAGAAAUUUUAAUUUUAUUUUGUUCUUGAGCAAAAUUUGAGAGUUUUGGAAAAUGCUUGUGAUUGUUGUAGUGAUUCAAUGGUUGUCUCCUAGGAGUAACUGUUCAAAGAGAUAACAAAUGUUAUCGACAAACAACUUUACUUUAAUAUAUCGUACUGUCACGAAUAAUUGAUCGUUCGAUAAAUCGUCUAAUUUUCUACAUUUAAUUGUUUGAAAAAGGUAAUGAAAUUAAUUUCUCCCUCAUCCCCCCCUUCAAAGCCUUUGCAACUCGAUGGCAAACUGGUACAUAAAAAUUAAAUAUUCAUGUAAUAGCCAAAAAUCUAAGGUGCCAUCUAAGCUCCAUCCCGCGAUGUCAAAUACAUAAACUUUUUUGUAAUAUUAGCAGCCGGAAAUUAACUAUAGAAUUAUUGCAGCGUUAAAGAUAAUGAUAAGUGUGUUUUUAUCAUAGUUAUCAGACUCGGACCGGACCUCAACCCGAAUAAUGCAAUGGGUCAACGGGUCAGUGGUUUAACCGUUGACCCGGUGGUUCAACUGGCGAGUCAAUUCCUAUAAAAAAUAUUAUUAAUUAUUUUCAUUGAAUAAUAAUUUUUUUCCCAUUUUCUACAAAUAACUAUAUUAACUUCAUAUUAUUCUGUCAACUAUAUAUCAAUUUGUAUUCCAAUUUCACAAAUUCUAGAUCAUAUAGAGAGAAAUAUGGAUUUGAAACAAUAAAAACAACAAUCAAUGAUUAAAAAAAACUACUUUAUAUCCAUGUUACAACAUCACAAGCAUUAAUAAAAGUUUUGUCACUCUCCAGGUUACAUGCUACCAGUUAAUCAACCCUUGCAUUAAAACAUCAAAAGAAAAGACUUAUCCAUGAUAACUAGAAAUUCUAGACGAUGUCAAUGAUUUCUCUAAUAUUGCCAAUUAUUGGUAAAGGAAGAAGAAAUGAUACCGAUUCAAUAAAUAAAUCAACAGAGAAACGCAAACUAGAUUGGUAUAAAUCACAGUAGAUAAGAGCUCAGAGAUCCACAAAGCAACUAUUCAAAAGCAUAGCACAUGGACCAACUUAAGCAAAAUAUUAAUCAAAUGAAGUUAGUUCAUCUAAAAAAUAAAUUAAAACCACCAUCAUAAUCCAUUUUUUAGCAACCAGUAACGCAAAAAUACUCGGACGUUAACUGGGUAAUAAUCCAAAGAUGAAGAAAAACUAAACACUAAAUAGAGUCUGCUCUUUAUUCGAGUAAAGCAUACAUUAGGUAUUUUUUAACCAUGACAUCAAGAAGCAAUUGUGGAUAUACACAAGCCUGCCAUCUGAAUCAAAUGUCUAUCCAAGUGAGGAUAUACACCAGCUAGAAAUGAAUAAAUACAUCACCUGAAUCAAAUGCUACAGCAAUGGCUAGAUGAAGCCAACAACUUUUUUCACAUAAUAUUAUAAAUGCCCCUCUAAAUCGAUAAAUUUAAUUAAAAACAGUAAAAAACUACUGGGGUGGCUCCGAUACAUUGUUGAAUACCAAAUUCCACAUUUUUUUUGUUCUAUAAUUCAUAUGCCAUCAUACCCAGGACAAAAUUCCACAUUUUUUUUGUUCUAUAAUUCAUAUGCCAUCAUACCCAGGACAAAAUUCCACAUUUUUUUUGUUUUAUAAUUCAUAUUACUUAAAAAAGGAUUCAUCUGACCGAGACUAACCUGCUCUUCCAUCUUUUAAAACUUGAAAUUGGAGAUUUGGAUUCUUGGGAGUUGAUGAAUUGCAAGAGAUUGAGACCGCGGCUGAGGUUUUUAAUUUUGCAAGAAUCCCUAAUGUCUUAGAAGUUAGAAAUUGUGAGGAGACGACGUGGGGAAGGAAACUGGAAGGAAUCUGUGAGGAAAGGAAAGUGAAACACAGUUACUUAAGAACCGGUCGGGUCAAUCCAAAGUCGGUACCCCGAAUCUAUGUAAAAUCGCCGGUUCUAGCGGGUUGUUGGCAGGCUGAUUUUUCAUCCAUAAAUUCCUCACAAUCGGACCGAUCUGGGUCCGGUUCGACGGGUUCCGAACUGAACCGGCCGAUCUGGUUCGGGUCUGAUAACUAUGGUUUUUAUACACUUAUUGGGCACCUUUAAUAAGCUAAUUAAUGAUGUAAUUGAGUGAAUUCCUAUUCAUAAUUGUGUAAUUAUGGUGUUUGUAGAUUAAAAGUCCAAAUUGAGAGAGAAGAAGGCUAAAGGAAGGGGAAAAAAAAAGGACCAAAAAUAUGACUUUGGGGACUAAGAUGUACAGGUCAAAAAGUUCAAGGACUCAAGUUGCAAAUUAUGAAGGAUUUGAUUGAAAAUAAGUUCAAAAUUUAAGGACUAAAUUAGAUGAAACCAAAGUUGGAGGACCAAACGUGCAAUUCUUUGAUGACCAACUGAAGAGAAGGGAAAAGAAGGCAAGGCGCACGCCUAAGCCUGUAGGUAAGGCACGUGCCUCAACUCCACUUUUGGGCAACUGAGAGCAACCAAAAGGCUAAGGCCCGCGCCUUAGGUUGAAAUUCAAGACCUGUGCGUGCAUUUUAAAUCUUUUUAGGGGCUCUUCUUGCAAUUUGUUUGGGAUGAUUUUUACUCCUUUUAAACACUCUUUUCACCCAUUCUCAACAUUCUUCUUCAUCCAUUUUAAAACCCUAGCUUAGAAAGAAAAGGGGGCGAACAAAAAGGAGAGGAAAAAUCACACAAAGAAGAUAAAAUCUUGGAAAAAUUUAGACCAAAACCAAGCAAGAUUCAAGGAUCCGACCAAGGGACAUGUUUAUUUCUUUGUCAUGUAUUUCACAUUAUAUUUUUCUCAAUUUUUGUGAUGUAUUUCUUUAAUCCUUUCAUUUUGUGCCCUAUAAAUACAAUGAGCAAAACAUUUUGGUGUCGGGAUGAAUGAGGAAGCUUGUCUUAACUAUAUAAAUUUCUUUAUUCACUAUUUUAAUGCUUAUGUUCUUGUAUUUUUACCAUUACAUUGAGUGUAUUAUCAUUAUUGUGGUCACUAUGUGAUAAUGUCUAGUGAUUUGUGUGAUUAUUGAGAAAGUGUUGCACAUUUUAGAUUAAGGUGGUAGAAAUCCUAGGUUCUUGUGGAAAUAGAGAUAAACUCCUACUCUUAGGUAACUUUUGAGUUAUUUUCAUUGAUAUUUAAUGCUUUUGAUUGUGCUUAAUCAACAUAGAAAUAUAACAGGUUAAACCAAUUGAUUAUGGUUAGUUUCACUUGAGAAAUGUAAUUAACUAAAAUAGGAAAAUCGGGUUUGACAAGAAAACUGAGUAAUGUUCUAUUGACUUGUUAUGAAGAAUUAAUUUAGUGACUGCAAAAUGAAAUCAUGAAUCCUAACCUGACUAAAAUCCAACUUUGACCAUAACUGUAAUUGGGUAUUUUAUUUGAAUGCUUAGAAGUAUAUUCUUUUAAUCUUUAAAUUCAAAGAUAUUAAUUAUUUAAAUUCAAAGAUAUUAAUUAUUUAAAUUCAAAGAUAUUAAUUAUGUGUGUCAUGACUAUUAUUUGGAUCAACUCUCGUGUAAUUGGACUAAACACUCUUCAAGGGAUCACUUAGACUCAAAAAGUUCACACUAUUACGUGUGCGCGACCCCUGCACUUGCGAUGUAGCAUUUUAGUAAACAGGUAACAUCAAUUAAAUAUAAUAGUCACGACAUAAUGACUGACCUUAUACAAUAAAAAACAAUUUCAAGAAUCAUUGAUAGGAAUAAGAACCCAAACCUUCAAUGAGCAAUUCUAUGUUCAAAUGCUGGAUUCUAAGACAAGAACAUUCUUGCGGGGCGUCCUACUUUGCAUAAAUAUGAAAAUAAUAAUCAAUAUGUGAUGAUGUAAACUGCUCCCUCUUAACAUUGGUAUUUUAAGAUAGAAUUCAAGAUUCGAUAUAUAGACUUCAAAGAAACACACAAAAUAUAGACUAAUUUUUAUAGAUCCUGGAGUGUUACUAAAAAAUUGAUUUUCUUCACGUAAAUGAGGCAACAUAAAAAUAAAAAAAUUCCUUCAUUUUCAAUGAUAAAUAAUAACUAUAUGCUGACCAAAACAUGAAGUUUAUAUCUUUUCGAAACGACUUUGAUCGACCAGAACUAACUAUAAAUAAUAAACUAGAUAAUAGAAAACUUAACGAUUCCAUUGUCUUCAAAUCAUGUUGACAAUCCUCAUCACCAUUCUAUAACAAAUUUGAUAACUAAUUGUAAAUUUUGUAAAAGUGAGUAUUUAACACUAGCUAGUAAAAAUACAUAUGAUUUCUAUAACAUAAUUAAAUAAAUCAAUAAAAUAGAUAUUGAUUGGUACAUAUAUAUUAAUAAAAUAAAAUAAAUUUAACUUUUAUCCGAAUCACUUUGCACAUGUUUGUUUAUCAUUCUCCAUAAACUCUUUUUUUUUUCUUUCUCUUUUUUUUUUUUUUUUUUUUAAACUUUUUUUCAAUUUUUUAACUAAACUUUUUUUUAAACUCAUUUUCAACUUUUUAACUAGACAUGCUCUAAGAAUCACUAUUCCAAAACUCCAAUCAAUCGAAUAUUGAUUAAUGCGUAAUUGAUCGAACACUACUUGCAAAUGGCUUUUUUGCUCAGAAACAUUUAAAAAAAAAAAAACUCUCUUUAUUGGACAUCAAAUAGGGGCUUAAUUAGUACAUAAGCAUAUAUACAAACAUGUAAUCAUGGCCGCCUAUUUCUUGAGUCCAACUUAUUUGGAUUAACUUUUCUCGAGCCAUAGUGCAUCAUUUAAUACGAGAUUAGUUUUUAACCCUACAAUAUUUAAUUAUUUGACCCGAAUAAAAAUAUUGUAUUAAACACUUAUUUUCUCUUUAGUCGAUCAAUGAUUUAAAAUUAUCAAAAAGCUCCUAGGUCAAAAUUCUUAUCGCUAGAUAUUCUUAUUCUAUAAAAUUUCCAGAGGAUAGAUUUGCUAUGUUAUUCUAUCUUAUGGGUCACAUUUCACAUCAAGACCAGAAAUAGAAAAAUUAGUUAGAAGGUGUAAAUAUGAAAAAUUGAUUGAUUAAAUUGCAAUGAGACAAAUUAAGACGAUCAAUUUAAGACCAAAAAAAGAGUGAAAAAUGGGAAUAUUCUUUAAAAUAUGGUAACCUAACAAUCUUAAUUUUCCAUUGUUUUGAUGGUAACCUCACUUUGAGCUUUUAGACCGCAUUCUAAUUGUAGAUUUCUUGUUAAUCGACAAAAGAGAAAUGUAGACUUGGAAUCUUUAAUACCUUGAACCAUACAAAAGAGAAAUGUAGAGUUGCAAUAUUUAAGUUUAAUACCUUGAACCAUGCGAUUAUAUCUCCUACCUAAUGAUUAUGAACCAAUAACCGAUUGAAGAGAAAAUUAUUGAUACGAAUCCCUUUGGCCUAUCCACAAAUAUGGUAAGGCAUUCCCAAGUCCUAUUUGAAUUAAUCUAUGGAGAUUACGACAAAUUCCAUUCAUGAUUUGAAUUUUUAUAACAUCAAGAUUAGAUGUACCAAACAAAAAGGAAUAUCAUUAAGUAAAUUCAUAUGAAAUUUAUCCCAAAGAUUAGUAACGAAGUCAUUUACAAUGAAACUAACUACUAUUAACUAACCAAUCGUCUACUUCUCAAGACUCGAGUAUUCAUGGUUGUCUUGGAUCCUACAAAAUACCUAUGUGAUGGAACUUAUAAACUUUCGUAGUUUGGCUGAUAAAACUCAUUAGAGACAAAAGUGAAAAAACAUGGACCAACGAUAAAUCGGUCCGGUUAGUGCUUGAAAUCAAACUAGUUACAGUGACUACCAAAAGCUCUAGCAUGCCCAAGUAUUUUCCGAGCCAAGGCAAAGAUCAAGAGCUGGCCAAACGUCAACCCGCACACAUGGUCUUACAACUAUGCCGAAAAAAUGGGAGAAACCCCAACCUCAUAAACCAGUUCACCUUUGACCCUUUUCGCAAUCUGUCUGGUUGAAUUUAUAAAAUUUUAGUAAAUUUUUGCUGGCUGGUUUUAAAAGCACAAUUGGUAUGUUUAGAAAGGUUUGUUCAUGAGCUAAAAAAACUUUUAGUUUCACUUUAGAAGUUGUAAGUCUUUAAAGCUAAACUCGAAAUUAUAGAUAUAAAAUAACUAUCAAAUUAAAUCCCAACAGUUUUCAAGGAGAUAAAAUUUCUAGCAAUGAAAACUGCUUGCUUAGAACAUUUGAUGCCAAUUUUAUUUCGACCUCUUCACUCCAAUGGCAAAACGGGCAGGCACAAAGUGAUCACACAUGAUAAGGUAUUAUUAUGAGAUAGAUAAAGCGUUCUUUAUGCGGCUGCUUUCCAGGUUGACAAAGGUGGCGUGUCUGAAUCUUUCCAUGUAGGGAUAUUGGGUCCAUAUCUCUCGCCCUUGACAGCAUCGGCCGAAGUAAUAGAUUCAAGUUCGGCCAUGUCUUCUUCCGUCAGUUUUACAGACAAUGCUCCCAUGUUUUCAUUAAGG
RNAcentral lists this long non-coding RNA (19820 nucleotides) under Olea europaea (common olive). RNAcentral's name for it is "long non-coding RNA (OEUR_LNC002354)". The record is from RNAcentral. Lineage: Eukaryota; Viridiplantae; Streptophyta; Magnoliopsida; Lamiales; Oleaceae.